Molecule: ribosomal RNA, 253 nt
Filed under: uncultured bacterium
Lineage: Bacteria
Description: partial 16S ribosomal RNA
Rfam family: Bacterial small subunit ribosomal RNA
Source: RNAcentral
UACGUAGGGUGCAAGCGUUAAUCGGAAUUACUGGGCGUAAAGCGUGCGCAGGCGGCUUUGCAAGACAGAUGUGAAAUCCCCGGGCUCAACCUGGGAACUGCAUUUGUGACUGCAAGGCUAGAGUACGGUAGAGGGGGAUGGAAUUCCGCGUGUAGCAGUGAAAUGCGUAGAUAUGCGGAGGAACACCGAUGGCGAAGGCAAUCCCCUGGACCUGUACUGACGCUCAUGCACGAAAGCGAGGGGAGCAAACAGG